RNAcentral lists this long non-coding RNA (3669 nucleotides) under Nicotiana tabacum (common tobacco). RNAcentral describes it as "long non-coding RNA (NTAB_LNC006677)". Lineage: Eukaryota; Viridiplantae; Streptophyta; Magnoliopsida; Solanales; Solanaceae. The record is from RNAcentral.
GAUAAUGAAAGACUCAAAAAACUCAAAUAGACUAUGAUAGUCUCUGACAUCACCUAAAAGACCCAGUACUACAGGACAGGAUUACAAAGGGAAAGACAAACAUAAAAACAGACUCAAAACAUAAAAAGGCUCUUUAAGCAGCUCCUGAAUGCAAUAGUCCUGGGGUAUCUGUCAUGCUCGAGUACUAGUACAUGGAUACACACCUGAAUGAGAAAAAUAAGACCAAAUAGAUUAGUGACUCAAGACAUUAUGGAACCUCCUAUUGACACAUGCAAGAAAUGAUUGGUCUAUUUUUGCAAAAUGGCAUAUGUGGCCAAAAGUGACUAUUAGUGCUAACUCAAAAUAAAGGUGACCUCAAAGACAAUGAAAAUACCUCACUAAGACUUAUAUGGAUUCAAACUCCCGAUAAUCAUGACCCAAAAUUAAUUUGCAGAAAUAACUCAUUCUGGCAAAAAUGACCAAUAUGGCCAAAAGUGGAUAAAGAUGCAAACUCAAAAAGGAUGAACCUUAAAGUAAUAUGACACCUAGUUGUGGACUCAAGAACCUAAGACAUGGGUCAUUGAACCACUUUUGCAAAAAUGACCCCAUUUUGCAAGAAUGACCGAUGUGGCCAAAAGUGACUAGACAUGCAAAUUCAACAGGAAUGGGCCUUGAAGUAAGGAGACAGCUAAUUGUGGAUUCUAGACUCUCCAAAUUCGAUUCAACAAGCCACUUCGCAAAAUAGCUCUAAUUUGCGACAAGACCGAUAUGGCCAAAAGUGGCUAGACAUGUAAGAUUUGGCUAAGACCCUACGAAGCCAAGAACCUAAGACUUACUAUGAAGACCGGACCCUAUGUGGGCUGCCUACGUAUCCCGCCCUGAAAGACGAGAAUCAGGUAUGCGUAGUUCAGGAAGAUUGAAUACAGAAAGUAAUUAAAAAAAACUGAUUUGGAGAAAACAUAUUUUUUUUGUUUUUCUUUUGUUUUUUGUUUUUUGUUUUUUGUGAAAUAUGUAAAAUCUUUUUGGAUUUUCUUUUCUCUUUUUUUUUUGAAAAAUGAUGGGAAAGUGCAAAAUCUUUUUGGAUUUUUCAUUUUCAUUUUUUGUCUUUUUCUUGAAAAAAAUUGUGAAAGAAAAAUAUAAUUGGGCUUUACUUGUUUCAUCUUUAUACUUCACCCUCUUUCCCAAACAUCAGUCCGCCAAAUGACCUCCUACCCUGAAAGAUGCAACAUGUAUCACAUAAGAAUGAUUGAAUGUCUUUUUGGGUCACGAGCCCAUUUUGACAAAAUUUGGAUAGGCCUCCUACAGAGGGACACGGUACCUGGGACCGAACCCUGCUAAGUGUAAAUGACAUGAUGCAAAUAAGCAUGACCUAAAGGCUGACCUAAGUUUGGGGUUCACUAGACAAGGCAAUUCGGGGCGACACGUGGUCGAUGGCGGUUGGUCUAACUGUCCGUCCACUCCCACGCCACCCCCUAAAGACACGGGUAACUCACAAAAAGGUCAUGUAUGCUCAAACGUACUCCGGAAGACUUGUUACAGAAAAAGACCCAUGGUUAUGUAGAUGAUGACAAUUAUAAAGCGGUAAACACAUAAGGAAAAGCAUAAACAAAUAACCAACAAAACAGCAAAUAAGACAAACAAACCAAAUAGACAAAGCAAAUAAAAAAAAUAAACACCUCAACCGAAUAUCCUAAAAGUCAACAAGAUCAAGUAUCAGCUCGAACCUGCAACUCCCCAGCAGAGUCGUCAAAGCUGUCAAACCCCUUUUUCACAAACCUCACUAACCCUCUUUAAAUCAAUAAAAAGAUUUUUGAAGCUCAAAAGGGUUUUCAAACUUGAAAAGUGACAAAGAAUUGUGUUCAAAAGGAUUAACUCAGAGUCGCCACCUAACAUUGGUUUCGGUGUGCUAGGUCACCGUAUUUUUUAAAAAUGAUUUUUCCUUUUAAAACACUUUGGACUCUAAAACUAAGUCUGCACCAUAGAUUCAGGUAAGGGAGUACAAUUGACUCGGGGAGAAGGUAUUAGGCAUUCCCCGAGUUCCGUAACUAGUAUGGUUGCAUACAUGAUCAAGUUGGCAUUCAAAAUAUUCAAACUGAGAUAAAAAACACAGAGAAGGGAAAAUAAACACACAAGAGGCUCGAGGUCAUCUCCACCUAAAAAAGGAGGUAAAAAUUAAAUAAAAUAAGAAUAAAAAGUACUACGAGUUCGCUUUCGGCCUCCAAUUACAGAAUACUACGGGGCAUUCCCCGGAAUAAAAUAUAUACAAAUCCUUUGGGGCAUUCCCUGGAUAAAUUUAACUAAGGGAACGACCUCUCACCUCAAAACUAACAAAAAUCCUAAGGCUUGCCUACCCAAGUGUGUUCGGCCUAAACAUACUCCUAUCAAAGAAAUAAAAAUGAAAUAGUGAACAUGUAAAACUCAAAUCUCAGUUGUUUUUUACUUAAGAUCCCAAAAAUAUGUCCCCAUACAAAAUCACGUCUUUCUAAAGUAUCUUCAUGUCAAUUAACAGAAUGGACAAGAAAAUUAAUGAAAACAUUUAGAGCAAUCAUGAGGAAUUGAAAAGCAACAUACAUUGAAUUAACAAAAAAUUACAAUGAGAUCAAACCCCUAAACAAAAUAAAUACUCCAGCACUAAAAUUCUUGUUUUCAUGAUUCUUAUGAAAGAAAGCAAUAGCAUACUGCUACACUUUAUCGGAAAACAAAAAUGAGUGAUCCUAACAAUUCAUAUUAGUCGCGGCGUGAUGGCGCCUUGUUAAAAUUAAAGCUAGCAGGAAGCACCCAAGACUAACUAGAGGCAUGAGUCACGGAUUCCAAUUUAGAGCACAUGAAACUUACACAUGAAAUUGAAAUGAGCCUAAUAGUUCAAUCGAAAUUUAAGCUAAAAGCUAAAGAAAUCAGUAAAUGAAAUGUCAAACAAACUAUGAGAUCAAAGAACCAAUCUACAUAUUUAGAACCUACGCCAAAUUUGUUAUUUGUAAUUGAAACUAAUCAAACUACAAUAAGGGAGAAAAUCAAUAGUAGAAAAAUUAGCUAUGCCAAGAAGUCAUGCUGAUUGCUGCAAUUUCAGUACAUUUAAUUUAGCUUUACAGAUCUAAUGCAAGAGGCAUACAUAACACAGAAUCACGAUAAAUCAGAAAAAUAUCAGUUCAUAUAGUAAGAUUACUGUGAUGACAAAUAUGUCAAGAAGAACGGACCUGAGAUAGUCUUUUAAUUAGUGAAACUCAUCAGUUACAACAACUAAAUAGAAAUGAUGAUUCUGGAAUUGAAACCUUCAACGUGAAAACUUCAAACAAAAGCAGCGAAAUGCCACCUUUGACCUCAAACAAUGCCCCAAUCAGAUGAACUCGAUCUGACCUCAAACUUAAUCGAAUUCAUAGUCGAAAACCAAAAAUCAUAGAAGGAAAGGUGAAAAUCUAAACCAAAACCUUGAAAAUAUCGGCCCUCUCUGCCCGAAUUCUUCUGUCCGAUUUUCUCCUCUCUCGCUCCCUGUGUAUAUGCGGCUGUGUGUGUCGAGUUCCUGGCGUGGAGGAGAUGUGGUGGGUCUUAGGUUGAAGCUUAGGGUUGCGGCUCUUAUGAAGUGAAGAAGAAGAGCCGCUCCUGGAGGUGUCUUUCUCUUAGGGAUUUUUUUAGGGGUUUUUGGGUUAGUGAAGGGUGAGGAAGAAGUCCAAACGGCUGGAGGUCUUCUUUUUG